Long non-coding RNA from Cannabis sativa, 1369 nucleotides. RefSeq lists it as uncharacterized. The transcript is spliced from 2 exons. The record is from RefSeq and is a predicted model, not a curated record. Lineage: Eukaryota; Viridiplantae; Streptophyta; Magnoliopsida; Rosales; Cannabaceae.
UACCACAGAGAUGGACAACGCAUGCGAACCCAACCCCAUAAACCCAUUUUCUUUGUUGAAGCCCUUAAAUCUCAAACCCAAUCCACAAAUUUGCUACAGUGCUAUUUAAUUUUGUUGGUGUAUUUCUUUUAGCCGAUUUUGGGAUCUCCAGAACUCAUCUUCUCCCCGUAACUUGUCUGAGGGCUCCUUUCAUUGCAAUUGUUUUGAUCAGUUUCUUCCAUCUCCAAAUCUUCGCAACUUCGCCCUUGAUGUAGAGUGAUGUGAGUUUUGUUGUUCCUGAUGUAGAUUCUAGGUUUCUUGCUACCAGUUAAGAGUAGUUUAUUAGUUUAUUUUAUAUUCUUAUAGAUAUUGAGGUUAGAGGAAAUUUAAAUAGUUUAUUAGUUUUGAUAAACCUAUCAUUACUUCUUUUAGGUGUUAUGAUGUGUGAAUAUAGCUUUAGAUAUAACUCACCUAGGUUACAACUAUUUUGUUUUUAUUUUCAUUAAAUCUCUGUUUCCAUGCUCUUAGUGCUUUUUUCUUUUCCUCGUUGAGCUUUUUGAAAUUGGACCAAGAAAGAUUUUCAUUUGUUGAUUCCAAUGCAUGUUUGACAAAUUAACAUAUGAUAAAUGGAAGGAAGCAAGAGGCUUCAAAUCUUCGGCUCCAACAAGCUUGAUAAGGAAAAUGUCAUAUAUUUUUUAACUUAUUUACUGAAUUUUUUGAUUGAUAUGUAAAAUUUGGAUAUUAAGCCUAUAUAUAUUUUAAAAAACAAAUUAACUGCAAAGUAAAGUACUGAAGAUUUUGGGGUUUAUGCAGAAUUCCGUGUCAUUUGGCCAUGGAAGCCAGAACUACAUUCUUUUAUGAAGGUGACUCCUCAAUGUCAACUUCAUUUUAAAGUUUCAAGUUGGAGAGGUUUCUUUCUAAGAUUAUCUCUCCAUCUAUGAUAUGGCUCCUCUUGAUGGUUGGCUGAGUUUUUGAUGUAGCUUUUGGGAAUGAAGUAAUGGUACCCAAAAGUCAUGGCUAGAAUUUUUGUGAACAGGUUCAAUGUGUUGUGAUGCCAAGGAGCGUAGCUGUUUUCACAAUGUUAAUCUGGCUUUGGUGUUUCCACAAUGCUAAUUUAGCUUUGGUGUUUUCACAAUGCUAAUUUGGCUUUGGCUAUUAUUGCUGCCUUGGUUCAGCUUAUAUUUUGACACAGGUUUGGUUUUAUUAUAAAUAUCUAGAUUUCAUUAGUGAGUUGAAGACUAGGAGCUUUGCAAGGAAAUAAAGUUUUUGUUUGAGAAGAUUUCAUGUGGCUGGUAUAAUGGAGCUUCAUCCUAAUUAGUACUAUGGAUGUAAUUCUGAUUGUAGAUCUCCUAAAAAAAAAUUCAUAUCACACAGAUUUUGUAGAUUUUUA